This is a small nucleolar RNA of Mastomys coucha (southern multimammate mouse), 133 nucleotides long. RefSeq annotates it as small nucleolar RNA SNORA51. NCBI's taxonomy places the organism in Eukaryota, Metazoa, Chordata, Mammalia, Rodentia, Muridae. The record is from RefSeq and is a predicted model, not a curated record. The transcript has a single exon.
AACUUCUUUGUUCUCACCACAGGCUGUGUUCCUACACUGACUGUAUAGAAAGAGGAGGCAGAAUAAGCCUGCCCUAUGAACGCCUCAGCCUGGGCUACUGAGCCUGCUCUGUAUUGUGAAUGGGGAGACAUGG